RNAcentral lists this ribosomal RNA (954 nucleotides) under Pseudoalteromonas haloplanktis. RNAcentral's name for it is "bacterial SSU rRNA". It matches the Rfam family "Bacterial small subunit ribosomal RNA", at positions 40 to 987 of the family's 1533-position model. Lineage: Bacteria; Pseudomonadati; Pseudomonadota; Gammaproteobacteria; Alteromonadales; Pseudoalteromonadaceae. The record is from RNAcentral.
CGACAGGGGCGGAGGCACCUGCAGUCGAGCGGUAACAGAAAGUGAGCUUGCUACUUUGCUGACGAGCGGCGGACGGGUGAGUAAUGCUUGGGAACAUGCCUUGAGGUGGGGGACAACAGUUGGAAACGACUGCUAAUACCGCAUAAUGUCUACGGACCAAAGGGGGCUUCGGCUCUCGCCUUUAGAUUGGCCCAAGUGGGAUUAGCUAGUUGGUGAGGUAAUGGCUCACCAAGGCGACGAUCCCUAGCUGGUUUGAGAGGAUGAUCAGCCACACUGGGACUGAGACACGGCCCAGACUCCUACGGGAGGCAGCAGUGGGGAAUAUUGCACAAUGGGCGCAAGCCUGAUGCAGCCAUGCCGCGUGUGUGAAGAAGGCCUUCGGGUUGUAAAGCACUUUCAGUCAGGAGGAAAGGUUAGUAGUUAAUACCUGCUAGCUGUGACGUUACUGACAGAAGAAGCACCGGCUAACUCCGUGCCAGCAGCCGCGGUAAUACGGAGGGUGCGAGCGUUAAUCGGAAUUACUGGGCGUAAAGCGUACGCAGGCGGUUUGUUAAGCGAGAUGUGAAAGCCCCGGGCUCAACCUGGGAACUGCAUUUCGAACUGGCAAACUAGAGUGUGAUAGAGGGUGGUAGAAUUUCAGGUGUAGCGGUGAAAUGCGUAGAGAUCUGAAGGAAUACCGAUGGCGAAGGCAGCCACCUGGGUCAACACUGACGCUCAUGUACGAAAGCGUGGGGAGCAAACGGGAUUAGAUACCCCGGUAGUCCACGCCGUAAACGAUGUCUACUAGAAGCUCGGAGCCUCGGUUCUGUUUUUCAAAGCUAACGCAUUAAGUAGACCGCCUGGGGAGUACGGCCGCAAGGUUAAAACUCAAAUGAAUUGACGGGGGCCCGCACAAGCGGUGGAACAUGUGGUUUAAUUCGAUGCAACGCGAAGAACCUUACCUACACUUGACUU